Molecule: long non-coding RNA, 588 nt
Organism: Cajanus cajan (pigeon pea)
Lineage: Eukaryota; Viridiplantae; Streptophyta; Magnoliopsida; Fabales; Fabaceae
Source: RefSeq, a predicted model, not a curated record
CAGAUUCAAUUUUAUCUCCUCCAGUUAAACAUCAAUCCUAACCCACUUUGUUACUUGACUUUACAAAGUUACCCACUUAUGCUUCAACCCUAACCUUAACUCAUUUUUAGGUCAUCAUUAUUCUCAUUCAUCAUCUUUUCCUUUCUUCUCCCACAAGCCAUUACAUGCCUGGCAUGGUGACACUAGGACCCUCCUAAAUCUUAACCUCUCCUCCCUUCUCUCCAUGAGCCACCAUAACUUCCCAAGCCACCAAGCCUCAACGAGCUGCCACAUGGAAUUUCCAAGCCACCACAACUCCUUGACCCUCAGCCGCCAAGCCUCUGCGAGCAUAUACAUGGAGUGCUCAUAAUUACCUCAGGAUUUGGCGCCAAAUGCCAUGGGCAUAGAGUCAUCAUCAACUUCCAGCAUCAUCAAUGUAAAUCACAAGUCAAAACUAGAAAUCAAGUGUAGCAAAUAACAUAAUCAUAAUGGGCACGAUUUUAGCAAUAAUUAUCAUAGUUUGUGUGUGUGUGUGAUCUAAAUAUAUGUAACGAUGGUGUUUCAAAUACUCUAAUUAUAUGCGUACAUAUAUUUUCUUAACUAGGUUGA